UACGUAGGGACCAAGCGUUGUUCGGAUUUACUGGGCGUAAAGGGCGCGUAGGCGGCUUGCCAAGUCACUUGUGAAAUCUCUGGGCUUAACCCAGAACGGCCAAGUGAAACUGGCAUGCUAGAGUGCAGAAGGGGCAAUCGGAAUUCUUGGUGUAGCGGUGAAAUGCGUAGAUAUCAAGAGGAACACCUGAGGUGAAGACGGGUUGCUGGGCUGACACUGACGCUGAUGUGCGAAAGCUAGGGGAGCGAACGGG
Molecule: ribosomal RNA, 253 nt
Filed under: uncultured bacterium
Lineage: Bacteria
Description: partial 16S ribosomal RNA
Rfam family: Bacterial small subunit ribosomal RNA
Source: RNAcentral